AAUGAGUGUGAAUGUUGUCUAUCGGUGUUGGCCCUGCGAUGAGGUGGCGACUUGUCCAGGGUGUACCCCGCCUUCCGCCCGAUUGUAGCUGAGAUAGGCUCCAGCGCCCCCCGCGACCCCGAAGGGAAUAAGCGGUGUAUGUUACACUGGCAGUUAAUCCACAGCCAAACUGGACAUACGGAAGUUGUCACGUGGGGGUUUGCGGCUCACUGCGGGGUCGUUCUCCCGGGAAAGCAGAACGGACAACUCCGGACGACAGCGUGAGCUACAUUUCCAGCAGUGUGGGUGGCACUGGGAGCAAGGUGGGUGAAGUCUUUCCAAAGGACACAUCGGCAGAGACUCGGAUGGCGAAAGCUGGAUUCGAACCAAUAACCUUCAAGUGUCUGGCCGGUUACUCUACCUUCUGAGCCCCACCGCCACUUCUUCGACCUGGAGCCUCUCCCAGCUGAAUUUGGGGCGAAAAGUGGGUUGCAGGUCAAUCAUAGGGCACAUGUAGAGACUCACACCAGAACAGCACAAAAAACAGGGAACUCAGAUGUGAUCUGGAUUCACACUAACAUGCAAUUUCAUACUUAAAUGAUGACUUUUUAAAAUUUUAUUUCACCUAACAAGUUGUAUCACAAACAAACAUUCACUUUUGUAGUUUUGUUAAAUUGAAAAGUUGAGAUGCAUCAAGACUGACUGUGACGUGGAAAUGUUCGCUGCCUCACCCCAAGACUGUGGAUGCUUUGGUGAAACACAGAGGUGCUCGCUGGGGCUUUGCCAACAUUUGAUUUGAACAAUGUAAAAACGACUGAGGC
Molecule: long non-coding RNA, 800 nt
Organism: Entelurus aequoreus (snake pipefish)
Lineage: Eukaryota; Metazoa; Chordata; Actinopteri; Syngnathiformes; Syngnathidae
Exons: 4
Source: RefSeq, a predicted model, not a curated record